This 108-nucleotide small nuclear RNA is filed under the name Ailuropoda melanoleuca (giant panda). Lineage: Eukaryota; Metazoa; Chordata; Mammalia; Carnivora; Ursidae. The record is from RNAcentral.
GUGCUUACUUCGGCAGCACAUACACUAAAAAUUGGAACGAUACAGAGAAGAUUAGCAUGACCCCUGCGCGAGGAUGACACACAAAUUCAUGAAGCAUUCCAUAUUUUU